AGGGUUUGAUCCUGGCUCAGGACGAACGCUGGCGGCGUGCCUAAUACAUGCAAGUCGAGCGGGGGUCUUCGGACCCUAGCGGCGGACGGGUGAGUAACACGUAGGCAACCUGCCCGCAAGACCGGGAUAACAUAGGGAAACUUAUGCUAAUACCGGAUAGGGUCUUGUUCCGCAUGGGACGAGACGGAAAGAUGGCGCAAGCUAUCACUUGCGGAUGGGCCUGCGGCGCAUUAGCUAGUUGGUGGGGUAACGGCCUACCAAGGCGACGAUGCGUAGCCGACCUGAGAGGGUGACCGGCCACACUGGGACUGAGACACGGCCCAGACUCCUACGGGAGGCAGCAGUAGGGAAUUUUCCACAAUGGACGGAAGUCUGAUGGAGCAACGCCGCGUGAACGAAGAAGGUCUUCGGAUUGUAAAGUUCUGUUGUCAGGGACGAACAAGUACCGUUCGAACAGGGCGGUACCUUGACGGUACCUGACGAGAAAGCCACGGCUAACUACGUGCCAGCAGCCGCGGUAAUACGUAGGUGGCAAGCGUUGUCCGGAAUUAUUGGGCGUAAAGCGCGCGCAGGCGGUCAGAUAAGUCUGGUGUUAAAGCCCGGGGCUCAACCCCGGUACGCAUUGGAAACUGUCUGACUUGAGUGCAGAAGAGGAAAGCGGUAUUCCACGUGUAGCGGUGAAAUGCGUAGAGAUGUGGAGGAACACCAGUGGCGAAGGCGGCUUUCUGGUCUGUAACUGACGCUGAGGCGCGAAAGCGUGGGGAGCAAACAGGAUUAGAUACCCUGGUAGUCCACGCCGUAAACGAUGAGUGCUAGGUGUUGGGGGUUUCAAUACCCUCAGUGCCGCAGCUAACGCAAUAAGCACUCCGCCUGGGGAGUACGCUCGCAAGAGUGAAACUCAAAAGGGAAAUUGACGGGGGCCCGCUCAAGCGGGUGGAGCAGGUGGUUUAAUUUGGAAGCAACGCGAAGAACCUUACCAGGUCUUGACAUCCCGCUGACCGUCCUAGAGAUAGGGCUUCCCUUCGGGGCAGCGGUGACAGGUGGUGCAUGGUUGUCGUCAGCUCGUGUCGUGAGAUGUUGGGUUAAGUCCCGCAACGAGCGCAACCCUUAUCUUUAGUUGCCAGCAUUCAGUUGGGCACUCUAGAGAGACUGCCGUCGACAAGACGGAGGAAGGCGGGGAUGACGUCAAAUCAUCAUGCCCCUUAUGACCUGGGCUACACACGUGCUACAAUGGCUGGUACAACGGGAAGCGAGCUCGCGAGAGUAAGCCAAUCUCUUAAAACCAGUCUCAGUUCGGAUUGCAGGCUGCAACUCGCCUGCAUGAAGUCGGAAUCGCUAGUAAUCGCGGAUCAGCAUGCCGCGGUGAAUACGUUCCCGGGCCUUGUACACACCGCCCGUCACACCACGAGAGUUUGCAACACCCGAAGUCGGUGAGGUAACCUAAACCACCCCAAAAAGUAUUACUUUUUGGGGACCCCGGUUGGGAGCCAGCCGCCGAAGGUGGGGUAGAUGAUUGGGGUGAAGUCGUAACAAGGUAAC
RNAcentral lists this ribosomal RNA (1539 nucleotides) under Brevibacillus sp. enrichment culture clone phylotype P25. Its description in RNAcentral is "bacterial SSU rRNA". It matches the Rfam family "Bacterial small subunit ribosomal RNA". Lineage: Bacteria; Bacillati; Bacillota; Bacilli; Caryophanales; Paenibacillaceae. The record is from RNAcentral.